This 763-nucleotide long non-coding RNA is filed under the name Dasypus novemcinctus (nine-banded armadillo). Its description in RNAcentral is "lncRNA (ENSDNOG00000052115.1)". Lineage: Eukaryota; Metazoa; Chordata; Mammalia; Cingulata; Dasypodidae. The record is from RNAcentral.
CAGCCCCGCGCGGGGAGGCCAGGCCAGGCCCUGCCAAGGGCGCCAGGCGCCGCGACCCCAGCCGGACGCGCCAGGUGCGCCUCGCCCGGGAAAGGCUUUUCCGGUCCCGUGGGCAGAGGGACAGGCAGGAACUCGGGCGGGCUGUCUCCACCCCAAGUGGGGCGGGUCCCGCCCGGGAUAAGACCCGCUGCCCGGCCCCGGAGAGGGUGUGACCUCGGUGGCCGAAGAGGACGAGCGCAGCCCCGCCUGGGCACCCAGCGAUUGUUUGGCUCUUCCAAAUGUGGGCAACAUCUUGUUCCUGGAGGAACACGCCUAGAGGAGGUUCUGGAGUCUGUGCCCAGACUGCCAGUGGCCCACUCUCCACCAGGCCUGUGUUUAACAGAGGGUACCAGCUCUCUGCAGGUGCACUUUUGCGUGUGUGUGUGCUUGGGAAGGUGGUGAUAAAAACAAAACCCUAGUCCAAAAUCAUAUGUGGAUGGAAAAUAAAGCCCUGUGUGCCUGGAGUAACUAAAGCUAUGCUAAUGUAGUUUAGACAGUACCCUGGCUCUGAAACAAGGCAAGAGGAGGAGACCCUAAGGGAGGACUGCCCUUCCUGGGGAGUCGACCCUUCCUGGGACCAGGUGUUCAGGAAGUCCAAGCAGCCAAGGUGGUUAAUGUUGGCCCAGUGGCUGUGGGAGCAGCUAAUUCAAUGAAAGCAAACAUUUCUUACAGUCCUACUAUGUGCACAGCACUGUGAAGAAUGAGAACCAGGAAAGUAGGGCCC